RNAcentral lists this ribosomal RNA (301 nucleotides) under uncultured bacterium. Its description in RNAcentral is "partial 16S ribosomal RNA". It matches the Rfam family "Bacterial small subunit ribosomal RNA", at positions 509 to 809 of the family's 1533-position model. The record is from RNAcentral.
CAGUCGCCGCGGUAAUACAGAGGGUGCGAGCGUUAAUCGGAUUUACUGGGCGUAAAGCGUGCGUAGGCGGCUUCUUAAGUCGGAUGUGAAAUCCCUGAGCUUAACUUAGGAAUUGCAUUCGAUACUGGGAAGCUAGAGUAUGGGAGAGGAUGGUAGAAUUCCAGGUGUAGCGGUGAAAUGCGUAGAGAUCUGGAGGAAUACCAAUGGCGAAGGCAGCCAUCUGGCCUAAUACUGACACUGAGGCACGAAAGCGUGGGGAGCAAACAGGAUUAGAUACCCCCGUAGUCCCUGUCUCUUAUAA